RNAcentral lists this ribosomal RNA (258 nucleotides) under uncultured bacterium. Its description in RNAcentral is "partial 16S ribosomal RNA". It matches the Rfam family "Bacterial small subunit ribosomal RNA", at positions 96 to 354 of the family's 1533-position model. The record is from RNAcentral.
UGGCGGACGGGUGAGUGACGCGUGGGUAACCUGCCUUACACAGGGGGAUAACACUUAGAAAUAGGUGCUAAAACCGCAUAAGCGCACAGCUUCGCAUGAAGCGGUGUGAAAAACUCCGGUGGUGUAAGAUGGACCCGCGUCUGAUUAGCUUGUUGGCGGGGUAACGGCCCACCAAGGCGACGAUCAGUAGCCGGCCUGAGAGGGCGGACGGCCACAUUGGGACUGAGACACGGCCCAAACUCCUACGGGAGGCAGCAG